AAAGAAACUGAGGCUCAAAGGAGUUAAGGAGAGUAUGCAAAGUCUCAAGGCCAGAAAGUGUUAGGACUUGGAUGUGCAGUUGAAAAUUUAGCACAAAGCUCCUUUCGUAAGAAUACGAUACAGAAACCAAAUGUUUUCUUCUGUACCUAUUGAACCAAAAGAACUAUCUGAAAAUGUCAGAUGAAAAACAUGAUAAUUCAGGUGAUUUUAAAGACAGGUAAGGAAGUCAAAGUCCAGGAGAAUUUAAAUUAUGUGGAUUAUCAACUUGCCUUGAUUUUCUUUCUCUUCGGGGGCUUCUAUUCUCUAUUUAUAAGAAUAGGAAAGCUGGAAGAAUCCAUACGAAGUUUAAAACAAAAUACACAUUCCUGUUAAAACCUGGGGUGGAAUCAAGUGUCUUAAAUCAUUGUUAUUCUUCCCACAGAACUAUUACAGAAUGGGUCCUGAGUGACUGCAUGGUGAAUAGCAUAUGGUUUCUCCCAGUGGAUAAUCAUUGGGCAUCCAAUCCUUGCACCCUCAGUCUGGGUUCUUUCUCUUCAUAAAAUGUCCAAGACAUGCUCCAGGUUGGCAGUUUGAGCCUGCCCAGAUGCUAGACAGCGAUUUUCGUGCUGACCUCCUUCUGUUGGCAUGUUUAUUGCAUUAAUAGUAUUUGUGUUUUUUAGAGUUCAUGAGCCAUUGACACAAUUACAAUUAUACUUUAAAAUUUUCAGAUAUCUCCAGUCAAGUGGACAAUAGCUUCCACAUACCAGAUAAAGCUCUGUCCCACAGCAGUUUCAUGUAAGAUGAAAGAGGCAGAGUGAGUAUGGUCAGGAACAAUUCCAGUGCAUUCAAAUGCCAUCAAGAUACAGUAUGCACAUAUAUUUUAAACUAUAUGCAGUCAUUAUUAUUGCUAACGUUAUAUAUUGUCUUGCCUUUUCUUUUCUCACCCAGUAUGAACAUGAAAUGCUUAACAUCUGUCAGGUUGUCUGGAAAAGGAAGGUUCAAAUCACUCAUUUUCAUAAGGGUGGACCUAAUCUACUGCAGAAUCAAUGUUAGAAGAUACUAGUACAAAAAUCAACACAUAAGCAACAAGUGUGAGCAAUUCCUGGUAAACAGCCUAUAAUGCUGAAUUUCUGCAUAGGACAAAAUUUAUAUUCAAGAUGACAAAGCAAUAAAAGAAGAAAUCUUUAUGGAUCUCAGCCUUAGAUGGAUCAUGAGGGAGGGAGGAAGGGCAAAUACUCUAGACAAGACAGAAAGUAAUGGAAAAGCAUUUCUAGCUCAACAAUGUUUUGAGGGAGUUGAGCUCAGGAAACAGAUUUCUGAUGGACUAGCAGUUGAGUCAGCCAAACAAUCAAGAAGAGGUAAUCAGGAGAGGCCAUUUUGUCCUUCAUUCUGUUGGAGGCAAAACCGUGUUGACGUAUAAAUGUGCCUCCUGGUUUCCAAUUGUUGUUCUCACUCAGCAAUGAGGCGUGAAGCCUGAGAAACCACAGAUAUUUGGAUCUAAGAAGGUAUUUUAUUUCCCCCUCUCCAGGGCUGAAGAGUGGAAAAUACACAAGGGCACUUUAUCUUAGUCUUACAAGGUCUCAUAGACCUAUAAUCCUCUUGCUCUGAGCUCCAAGUUCAUCAACUUGAUCUGUACAUAAUUCUAUUAUCAAAAGAGGUUCCCUGGUAUAUACAUCCCAGGCCAGGAAGAAGAUGAGUGGAUUUCUUCCCUCCUCAUAGACCAUACACCUUACCCAUCUAGCUCUUCGGUUGCCAGAAACAGACCAUCUUAAAGCAGCAACAAUCUCUUUGUCUAGUUAUUUAGCCUUCAUGCCUUGUUUAAGUUUCUCACUGAAAAGAAGAAAAAUGGUCCUCACCCCAUCUAACACACAUUCACACACGCGCGCACACACACACACACACACACACACACACUCACACACACUUUUUCUAAAAUCUCCAUAUCAUCUUAAUUCCUUCAGGACUAAGUCAAUCCCAAUCUCUUCCAGGGGGCCAAGGGGCAAGGGAGUGAGAUAGAGCAAUGAAUUCAGGGUUUCCCAGCAUGGUUUUUACUUUCCUGAAUCCUUAGAGACCUCCCUCCCAACUUUUUCCCAGCUGUAGUUGGAAGCUGUAACAGAUCCAGAGACCAUUUUAGAACCUCAUUUGUAUUGUCCUGACACUUAGGAAUCCAGUUUCUGUUACAGGGAUGUCAUCAAAGUUGGUGGGCUCAAAACAUGACCUACUUUUUAAAACCCAUCUGUUAGGAGCCUAUAGAUUUUCUUGGUUUGUUUGUUUCUGGCUGUCUCCAGAAAGAGCAACAGCAAUGUUCUUACUUUCCAAGCCCACCCCCCAAAUAACAAUCAACUGAAUGUGUACCACACGGAGCUAAAUACCUUCCAAAUAUGCAGUAGGCAAAAGACAAACAAACAAACAAAAAACAGUGAUUUCCCUUACUCUGGUAGGUGAAGAGUAAGGGCAGGAGGUAGUGGUCAGUUUAAUUUAUGCACAUCUAGGCUAUUUCCCAUUAAAAACUCACUCCAGACCAGACAGCAGUAUUAGAAAGCAGAACACAAGUUUUACCACUUAGCCUGCCAAGCUUUUGCCACUGUUGGGGUCAUGAGGUUAUGGUGCCCUCUAACAAUGAGGUUUGCAAUACCAUGUGGCCAAAGGAGAGGGAUUUGGGGUCUGUAGGCUAAAGUUAAUGUACUCCUUCACAUAAGCCACUAUUGCCCUCUGAUAGUAGCUCUUAAAUUGCUCUCUCAAUUGAUUUUACCGUAGCUCAAUGGCUAAAUGAGUGCAUGUGUGAACACACACAAAAUGAAACCUCUAUGUUUCUCAAAGAUAACCGUUCCUGGAUUGGAAUAAAGCUAUAAAUAGGGAAGGUGAAAGGAAUGAGGGAGGGAGGGAGGGAGACAAAGAGGAAGAGACACAGGGGAAGAGGGAGGGGGGUAGAAGAAGGGGAAGAAGGAAAGCAGGGAUUAAAAACAGGACAUUCAUACAUAAUGGCUAUUUAGCUAAAUCCUGCAUCUCUACCUAAAAUCAGAUACCAGCUUCUAUGAAUAUUCAAUUUCAUGUCAAGCAGACCCCAGCCCAGUUUUAGUUACUGACUCAGUAGUUCACUGUAAUAUGGUUCAGGAUACCAUUUUACAGUCUUUUGAUUAAAGCCCAGCCUCCUCACGAUCCUGUCUUUAAUUUGCAAUUCUGUAGAGAAUCUUCCUUCUCUACAACUGACCCCAUACUCAACUCUACUCUUGCCACUCUUACAAUUAAAACCUGCCAGUGGCUGGCUCUGCCUGGACCACUGGAAAAAGUUCAGAGUUCAUGGCCUGACAUACAAGGUCCUCCGCAUCUGGCUCAAAUCUUCAAUUUCAAACUUAUCUUUACUAUGGCUCAAUGUUUGUGCUCACAAAAUGGCUCUUCCACCUCUCGGAUUUUAUCUGUAUUUUAAGUAAGAAGAAGAAAAGUAGAAGGGAACAAGAAGUGAAAAAAGUUUUCCUGUACCAGGAAAAUAAAAACUUUUUAAGAAAUCCCUAGACUACAUCAAUUUAUACCUUAUCGGCCUGAAGUGUUCACAAUGUCACCAACAGCUGCAAAGGAGUUCAGGAAGGCAAAUAAUUCUCAAAAGACAACUGAAGUUCUGAUAGCAAGGGAGAAAGGAAGGAUGGUUAUUGGGUAGGCAACCUGCAGAGCCCAAAGCCAAUAGUGUGAACAGGUUACAAUGUAUUUUGGUAACAAAAAUUAGACAAAUACAUAAGUGGUGCAGGGCCAAGCUCUCCAUAGCAGCUUAUGAAGUUACAUAGGCUUUUGUUAUAACAAGUCAACUCUAGACAGAUGGGAUAUAAAAUUGUUAUAUCUAAGUAUAAAUAUUACACCUAGAUAUUACAUCCAGAUAUAAAUAUUUUUAUAUUUACUACAUCUAUAUGUAAAUUUUUUUAUAAUCUUUUUGUUCUCCUUUCUGAGUUCUGAGACCAAAUUAUGAAUUGUUAAGAAAUAGAAAGUGAUGUAUCAAAAGGGUUAAGUCACCAGAACACUGACUCCUCAACUAUUCUUUCUAAUUAAAAGAAACUUAAGGGCGCCUGGGUGGCUCAGUCGGUUAAGCGGCCGACUUCGGCUCAGGUCAUGAUCUUGCGAUCCGUGAGUUCGAGCCCCACGUCGGGCUCUGUGUUGACAGCUCAGAGCCUGAAGAGUGUUUCAGAUUCUGUGUCUCCCUCUCUCUGACCCUCCCCCGUUCAUGCUCUGUCUCUCUCUGUCCCAAAAAUAAAUAAACGUUGAAAAAAAAAUUAAAAAAAAAAAAAAACGUUAAAAAAAAAAGGAAACUUAGUCCAAGGGUAAAACUGAAUAUCAAAAUUAUCUAGCAUUUUAGCAAGCNGGCUCUGGGCUGAUGGCUCAGAGCCUGGAGCCUGUUUCCGAUUCUGUGUCUCCCUCUCUCUCUGCCCCUCCCCCGUUCAUGCUCUGUCUCUCUCUGUCCCAAAAAUAAAUAAACAUUGAAAAAAAAUUAAAAAAAAAAAAAAAGGGGCGCCUGGGUGGCGCAGUCGGUUAAGCGUCCGACUUCAGCCAGGUCAAGAUCUCGCGGUCCGUGGGUUCGAGCCCCGCGUCAGGCUCUGGGCUGAUGGCUCAGAGCCUGGAGCCUGUUUCCGAUUCUGUGUCUCCCUCUCUCUCUGCCCCUCCCCCGUUCAUGCUCUGUCUCUCUCUGUCCCAAAAAUAAAUAAACGUUGAAAAAAAAAUUAAAAAAAAAAAAAAACGUUAAAAAAAAAAGGAAACUUAGUCCAAGGGUAAAACUGAAUAUCAAAAUUAUCUAGCAUUUUAGCAAGCAGCUUGAGCCCUGGCACAUUAAAGUGACUGAUAUUUUUGUGUUGAGUCAACCAAAAAUGACACAAACAUUUACAUAGCAUCGGUCCAAAGGGAAAGAAUCAGAACUGGUAUAAAUCAGUUUCUACUUGGGAAUUUACAUUAAAGUGGAAAAUAAACACAUGGGUGGUAUUUCUAUUUUAUUUAAAGUUUAUUUACUUAUUUUGAAGGAGAGAGAGAGCAGGGAAGGGGUAAAGAGAGAAGGAGAUAGAGAAUUCCAAACAGGCUCCAUGCUGUCACUGCAGAGCCCAACGUGGGACUUGAUCCCAUGAACCGUGAGAUCAUGACCUGAGCUGAAAUCAAGGAUCAGAUGCUUAACUGACUGAGGCAGGGUAGUAUUUUAAAAAAAUUAUCCUUAAUCGCUUUCAGAUAGAUCAACUCUAGGGAUGAGGAUGGGUAGGAACAAUUGUGUCUGCAAUCCAACUGGCAAGUCGAGUGAGUCACAUUCUCUAAGAACUCUGGUAAAUGACGCUGAACUGUUGCCAGGUGAAGGAAAUGGAGUUUUUUCAUAACUACAUUGAACUGUGUGGCAGAGUUCCUUAAAGGAACUAAGGAGAAAUCUCUCCUGGGCUUGGCACCAUCAAAGAAGUUUCCCUUCUUUCUUUCACUCUAGUUGAGUACCGAUUUGGGCAGGCAUCACUCUUUGGUCAUUUUACUUUUUUUUUUUUUUACUUUUUUUUUUUUCCAACGUUUUUAUUUAUUUUUGGGACAGAGAGAGACAGAGCAUGAACGGGGGAGGGGCAGAGAGAGAGGGAGACACAGAAUCGGAAACAGGCUCCAGGCUCUGAGCCAUCAGCCCAGAGCCUGACGCGGGGCUCGAACCCACGGACCGCGAGAUCGUGACCUGGCUGAAGUCGGACGCCCAACCGACUGCGCCACCCAGGCGCCCCUGGUCAUUUUACUUUUGACUUCUGCACUAUCUUCUCUUUAAAACAUAAGCUCCCAGAGUUCUGAGGUUUUUGUUUUAAUUUUAGCAUGCUUCUGAGCCAAUCCCAAAUAUAAGCGUUCCAUGCCCAAACCUGAAGAAAUAGUAGAGUUCAGGGACAGUUCAGGGGCUCAGCCUUCCAAGUUGAGACUGACUUGCCAUGUGGGCUUCAAGGCAAUUCAUCUCUCUCGUUCCAUUCAUCUCGUUCCAUUCCAUCUCUGAAGUAGGAAUAAUAGUAGCCGUCCUCACUUACAGCACCAUUUCCUUUGUCAUUAAAUAUUUAUUAAGCAUCCACAUGCAUGACACAAAGUUGUAUAGGCUAAACCGGAUAGACGCUCUCUCUGGCUUUAGAGAGCUCUCAUGAUGCAAAAGAUAGGCAGAAUCUCAGCACAUAAGUCCAGGGCAGGAGUGUGAAUAUUUGCGUGAGUGAGUGUGUGUGUGUGUGUGUGUGUGUGUGCGCGCGCGCGCGUGCACUGAAGAACAAAAGCUGGAACCACAUCUUGUUUGUCAUCUUUAUAACCUCAAGCGUUUGCCUUGAUUUUAGGUUAUCUUUAACCAUUAAUAUUUGGAAAUAUAUUUGAAUUUCAAAACCUUUGGGUUUCACACUACAGCAUAACCAGAUUAUAUCUCCUUUUCUAGUUGCACAAAGGGCAGUCGCUACCACAUGCCCAGAAGGUAUUCAUGUAACAGGUACACAAGAUAACCCACACAGAAGAACUAGGAGCAAACAUUCAUAGCACCAAUGAGAUUCUCAUGCAUUGGUGUUACAUGCAUUCUCACAGCACUAGGGCGUUAUUCUUUAUGGUAGAGGUCAACACAAGACUGAAUUAUAAUGGUUAUUUCUGCUAAGAAAACACUUUCUCCGGGAGAAGAAAGCAUUGAGAGAAGUGGUAACCGAGAGGGUGCAGAAUGAAAGUUACUGUGUAUAAUAUGCAUCCAGCUAUGAAGCUCCAGCCCUUCCCAUUAACCUUGUGUCAAUCUGUAUUAUUAAGAGACAGUCAAUUAGGCGAGGUACAUUAUAAUUUUUUUUUAAGCAAGCAAUAGUUGGACGUUUUCAUCUGGGCCCUAGCUGAGUUUCCCUUGUUUGCUUAAUCUGGGCUUUCGGUCUUCCUGAAAGAUGAAAGGCUGCCAUUUUAGCCUCAAUGCCUCAUAAUAUGUGCGUUAAACUCAGCACUGCCUCAUUAUUUAUUAAUGUCAAGUUAUUAUACUUCAGUGGAGGAUGGGGGCCAGAGCCGCAAUGGUGACAGAUGUUCCAACAGAUCAGCUUAUAUAAUGAGAAGUUGGGCCAAAUCUGUCGAAAGAGGUGUUUUUUUAAAAAACACACUGACUUCAAAGAAAUGAGUUGUGGCAUCUGUAACAUCUAUGGAGCAGUGCCAGUGAAGGCGAGUGGGUCUGCAGCCGGGGGGCACAAGUCAUGCGAUUAUUGGAGCUUGCAGUGCAGUGACUGGAACAACAUCUGGGCUGCAGCAAGCUGGCCAGGACAUUUAAAAAGAGCUCCUGCGGUGCCUCAAACUUUGAUUUUACAGAGCUGUGGGGAAAGAAACAGGCUGCAUUCAAAAGCUCAUGUGUUUUGGCUCACACAUUUUGUCCUCGGUCACUGUGGAGGGCCCCACUCAGCUGGGGGAUCUCAGGGACAUUGUUGGACAGUCAUUCUCUAUCUACUCCACUAGCUCU
Molecule: long non-coding RNA, 7405 nt
Filed under: Lynx pardinus (Iberian lynx)
Lineage: Eukaryota; Metazoa; Chordata; Mammalia; Carnivora; Felidae
Source: RNAcentral